GUGGGUGUAGCUCAGUUGGCAGAGCGCCUGACUGUGGCUCAGGAGGUCCAGGGUUCGAGCCCCUGUACCCACCCCA
Molecule: transfer RNA, 76 nt
Filed under: Coriobacteriales bacterium
Lineage: Bacteria; Bacillati; Actinomycetota; Coriobacteriia; Coriobacteriales
Also listed under: 2 other names
Description: tRNA-His
Rfam family: tRNA
About the family: Transfer RNA (tRNA) molecules are approximately 80 nucleotides in length. Their secondary structure includes four short double-helical elements and three loops (D, anti-codon, and T loops).
Source: RNAcentral